GGGGGCGACUUGGAUUCGACGUGGGUCACAAAGCGCCAGGUGCAUGUCGAGGUGCAGAUACCUCGUUAAACUGUUUGCAAACCUUAUAGUUGCCAACGACGACAACUACGCUUUAGCCGCCUAAAAAACGGUUUUAAAGCCUUCCGCCCGGUACGUGUCUGUGCGUCCGGAUUCCGGGAGUCACAUUACACAGAAUCGCGUGGCGGCAUGUCCGGGGCCAAAACGUUAAACUUUUUCUGGACUGGUUGCGUAUCUUCCCUGCCUGUCGGGUAAUGCGUUAACGAGAUUUAAAGACAGAAUAAGCAUGUAGAUCCUGACGUGGAGGGCUUGCGGACGCGGGUUCGAAACCCGCCGCCUCCACCA
Molecule: transfer-messenger RNA, 363 nt
Filed under: Gammaproteobacteria (g-proteobacteria)
Lineage: Bacteria; Pseudomonadati; Pseudomonadota
Also listed under: 1 other name
Description: JABDKV01 sp013002045 Standard tmRNA
Rfam family: transfer-messenger RNA
About the family: Bacterial tmRNA, also known as 10Sa RNA or SsrA, is named for its dual tRNA and mRNA-like properties. Its role is to liberate the mRNA from a stalled ribosome. To accomplish this part of the tmRNA is used as a reading frame that ends in a translation stop signal.
Source: RNAcentral